RNAcentral lists this ribosomal RNA (491 nucleotides) under uncultured bacterium. Its description in RNAcentral is "bacterial SSU rRNA". It matches the Rfam family "Bacterial small subunit ribosomal RNA", at positions 30 to 514 of the family's 1533-position model. The record is from RNAcentral.
UGAACGCUAGCGGCAGGCCUAAUACAUGCAAGUCGAGGGGCAGCGGGUGUAGCAAUACAUGCCGGCGACCGGCGCACGGGUGCGUAACGCGUAUGGAAUCUGCCCUUAACCGGGGGAUAGCCCGGAGAAAUCCGGAUUAAUACCCCAUAACAUAAGUUGUGGCAUCACAUUUUAUUAAAAAUUCCGAUGGUUAAGGAUGACCAUGCGUAUGAUUAGCUAGUUGGCGAGGUAACGGCUCACCAAGGCGACGAUCAUUAGGGGUACUGAGAGGUUACACCCCCACACGGAUACUGAGACACGGAUCCGACUCCUACGGGAGGCAGCAGUAAGGAAUAUUGGACAAUGGAGGCAACUCUGAUCCAGCCAUGCCGCGUGCAGGAAGAAGGUCCUACGGAUUGUAAAGCACUUUCAGAGGGAGAAAAAUCGGAGCUAACACCUCCGAGCUUGACGUUACCCUUACGAAGAAGCACCGGCUAACUCCGUGCCAGCAG